GGAAGUAAAAGUCGUAACAAGAUUUCCGUAGGUGAACCUGCGGAAGGAUCAUUACCAAGAAGUGGCUGUGCGCCUUGUGCGUGCAAGUCCACCAUCAUCAUCUCACCUGCGAUUCGUUUAUGUCGAACACGUCACUCGUGCAGACCGCACAUCUGGCCCUGGCCGGUCGUGUGGAUCGUUGCGCAAGUGUGCGUCGUUUCGCUAUUUCUACCAUGCUAGGAGAAUGCUUACCCUGGUUCAACGAGCAGUUCGUUUAAAAAUGUUAAAACAACUGUUGGCAACGGAUCACUAGGCUCUC
This 298-nucleotide unclassified non-coding RNA is filed under the name plant metagenome. Its description in RNAcentral is "partial contains small subunit ribosomal RNA and internal transcribed spacer 1". The stretch from base 1 to 54 matches the Rfam family "Eukaryotic small subunit ribosomal RNA", at positions 1778 to 1831 of the family's 1831-position model. The record is from RNAcentral.